GCAGGUGAAGAAAUUAAUGAAGACUAUCCAGUAGAAAUUCACGAGUAUUUGUCAGCGUUUGAGAAUUCCAUUGGUGCUGUGGAUGAGAUGCUGAAGACCACGAUGUCUGUUUCUAGAAAUGAGUUGUUGCAGAAGUUGGAUCCACUUGAACAAGCAAAAGUGGAUUUGGUUUCUGCAUACACAUUAAAUUCAAUGUUUUGGGUUUAUUUGGCAACCCAAGGAGUUAAUCCUAAGGAACAUCCAGUAAAACAGGAAUUGGAAAGAAUCAGAGUAUAUAUGAACAGAGUCAAGGAAAUAACAGACAAGAAAAAGGCUGGCAAGCUGGACAGAGGUGCAGCUUCAAGAUUUGUAAAAAAUGCCCUCUGGGAACCAAAACCGAAAAAUGCAUCAAAAGUUGCCAAU
This 402-nucleotide long non-coding RNA is filed under the name Homo sapiens (human). RNAcentral's name for it is "non-protein coding lnc-EPC1-5:1". The record is from RNAcentral. Lineage: Eukaryota; Metazoa; Chordata; Mammalia; Primates; Hominidae.